AUUGAACGCUGGCGGCAGGCUUAACACAUGCAAGUCGAGCGGAGUGAUGGUGCUUGCACUAUCACUUAGCGGCGGACGGGUGAGUAAUGCUUAGGAAUCUGCCUAUUAGUGGGGGACAACAUCUCGAAAGGGAUGCUAAUACCGCAUACGUCCUACGGGAGAAAGCAGGGGAUCACUUGUGACCUUGCGCUAAUAGAUGAGCCUACGUCGUAUUAGCUAGUUGGUGGGGUAAAGGCCUACCAAGGCGACGAUCUGUAGCGGGUCUGAGAGGAUGAUCCGCCAAACUGGGACUGAGACACGGCCCAGACUCCUACGGGAGGCAGCAGUGGGGAAUAUUGGACAAUGGGGGGAACCCUGAUCCAGCCAUGCCGCGUGUGUGAAGAAGGCCUUAUGGUUGUAAAGCACUUUAAGCGAGGAGGAGGCUCUUUUGGUUAAUACCCAAGAUGAGUGGACGUUACUCGCAGAAUAAGCACCGGCUAACUCUGUGCCAGCAGCCGCCGUAA
Molecule: ribosomal RNA, 503 nt
Filed under: uncultured bacterium
Lineage: Bacteria
Description: partial 16S ribosomal RNA
Rfam family: Bacterial small subunit ribosomal RNA
Source: RNAcentral